Molecule: long non-coding RNA, 1784 nt
Organism: Scylla paramamosain (green mud crab)
Lineage: Eukaryota; Metazoa; Arthropoda; Malacostraca; Decapoda; Portunidae
Exons: 3
Source: RefSeq, a predicted model, not a curated record
UACAAAAAUAGAGGCCUUUCAUUUACUUCCGUCAGUAGCCACAUCCACCAACACCACCACCACCACCACGACCACCACCCUCCUCACAGUGUUACCAGAGCGGAAAAAGUUCACUCAUCCGCGCUCCAUUAGCUACAAGUGACCGAUCGGAGCUCUCCUUCUCUUGCCAGGGACUCCACGACGCUAUCUUCACCUGCUUCACGUCUCCUGCCAACCUCUACUGCUACUUGUGCCAGCCACUAGCACCAACAACACUACCACAGCCGCCGACAUGCCCGAGACGAGGCAUGACGCAGCGAAACCUAACUGAUCAGAUGCCGAACAUUCCCAGUGAUUGGACGACAACUGGAGCCGCCGUCACAUCAACGAAAGCCGACAGGUUAAAUCGGUGACGAAACGGUAAAGGUCAAAUUACACGCUUCGCUGCCGUGCCGAGUCCAUCUCCUCCUCCUUAAACAACUGAUGUGCUUCAUGCAACGCCCGCACAGUCAGCAGCGUGAGCGCGACCCACUGAGACGCCAAAUGGGAGGCCGAACGCGUGUGUGGCUGCCUGACGGAGUGAAUGGAGUGCGUGGAGCUAAAAUUCUGUGGUGAUGACCCGGGUCGACGCAAUCAGGCGGCGACGGGAAUGUGGCGGUGAACGAAUCGUGCGCAAAGUGCCUCUUAUUUGUGGUGGAGGCGCGGUGGUUGGCGGCGGCAGGUGUUGGGGGGACAGGGAGGGGUGGUGGUCGUAGUUGUGGGAGUGGGAAGGCGUAGGUGUGUUUGUGUGAUGGUGGAAAUGACGGGGGCAGGGAAGAAUGGGCGAGGGGAAGGUGUAGUACCGAAGGGAGUAGAUUUUUUAUUGUGGUAAAAGGUGCUAAGUAGGAGUGGGAUCGGUGUAGUUUUGGAAGGCAUAAUUGUGUUUAUCUCAGGUAGUAAGAGUAAUAAGGAACAGAUGUAGAGGUCGCGCGGUGGUCGUGUGUUUGCCUCAAGUAGGCAUUAGGAGUGAAUGUGUUUGUCUCAGGUAAGAGGGAGGGGUGAUUGUGUUUCUCUCAGGUAAGAAGGAGGAACGAGGAACAGGCAUGGAGGUCGUGCAGUUGUAGUAAGCAAGAGUGUCUGUCUCAGGUAAGAGGGAGGAAUGGGCAUAUUAGUCUUAGGUAAGGAGCAGGUGAGGUGCGUGGCGUCACUGGUGUCACAACUACAUAUGUAAUGUCUGUGGUAACUCUAUAUUCCUGACCCGGCGCUGCGAGGUGGAGGUACAAACAGGUGCAAGGCGUACACUCAGAGGCAGCAUUAAGGUGUUGGACUGAAUACCGAGUCCAUUACGUAACAUGAAAGUUGAACGAGGAAAAGAUAGGAAUGAUACAGAGGUACUGCCAUGCACGGGGAGCUUUAAAGGAGAGCACUGCAUAUCAAGUCCAUCAUGUUGUUAUGUAUGCUUGUGUCUUGUGUUAUUGUAUGCACCCUCUUCACUCAUCUACCUAUGUAACAGUAAUAAAUACAAGUAAGUUUAAUGAAGUGCUUUGUUUUCAUCUAUUAUUAUUACUAUUAUUACUAUUAUUAUUAUUAUUUUAAUUUAUUAUUAAGAAUUUACUUAUGUCUUAUGUUAUAGUAUGCACCCUCCUCACUCCUCUUUCCCCUUGUCCCUUCCUAGCACUACCUAUUUAUGUAACAGUUUUAAAAUAUAUGUAAGUGUAAUCACUUGGUUAUUAAAUUCCUCUGCGUUCAUCUACUUAAUAUAAAACUAAGAAUGCGUCUUUCUUUUCUACCUCUUAAAUAUCUAGGGAUUAGUAUAAUACAAUGAA